AACGGCCGCGGUAUCUUGACCGUGCAAAGGUAGCGCAAUCACUUGUCUUUUAAAUGAAGACCUGUAUGAAUGGCAUAACGAGGGCUUAACUGUCUCCUUUUUCCUAUCAAUGAAAUUGAUCUCCCCGUGCAGAAGCGGGGAUAAAAACAUAAGACGAGAAGACCCUAUGGAGCUUAAAACGCAAGAACAGAACAUAUUCCUUCACAUCAUCAAAAAAUGAAAACAAUUGUAAAUCUGUUCAAAUGUUUUUGGUUGGGGCGACCGCGGAGUAUAAUAAAACCUCCAUGAGGAAUAAAGGUAUUCCUUUUCAUUCAAGAGUGACAACUCUAAAAAACAGAAUUUCUGACCGUUUUGAUCCGGCAAAGCCGAUCAACGGACCGAGUUACCCUAGGGAUAACAGCGCAAUCCUCUUCUAGAGUCCAUAUCGACAAGGGGGUUUACGACCUCGAUGUUGGAUCAGGACAUCCUAAU
RNAcentral lists this ribosomal RNA (471 nucleotides) under Aphyosemion labarrei. RNAcentral describes it as "partial 16S ribosomal RNA". It matches the Rfam family "Bacterial large subunit ribosomal RNA", at positions 1926 to 2551 of the family's 2925-position model. The record is from RNAcentral. Lineage: Eukaryota; Metazoa; Chordata; Actinopteri; Cyprinodontiformes; Nothobranchiidae.